UUCCAGGUGUAGCGGUGAAAUGCGUAGAGAUCUGGAGGAAUACCGGUGGCGAAGGCGGCCCCCUGGACGAAGACUGACGCUCAGGUACGAAAGCGUGGGGAGCAAACAGGAUUAGAUACCCUGGUAGUCCACGCUGUAAACGAUGUCGAUUUGAAGGUUGUGGUCUUGAGCCGUGGCUUUCGGAGCUAACGCGUUAAAUCGACCGCCUGGGGAGUACGGCCGCAAGGUUAAAACUCAAAUGAAUUGACGGGGGCCCGCACAAGCGGUGGAGCAUGUGGUUUAAUUCGAUGCAACGCGAAGAACCUUACCUACUCUUGACAUCCAGAGAACUGAGCAGAGAUGCUUAGGUGCCUUCGGGAACUGUGAGACAGGUGCUGCAUGGCUGUCGUCAGCUCGUGUUGUGAAAUGUUGGGUUAAGUCCCGCAACGAGCGCAACCCUUAUCCUUUGUUGCCAGCGAUUCGGUCGGGAACUCAAAGGAGACUGCCGGUGAUAAACCGGAGGAAGGUGGGGAUGACGUCAAGUCAUCAUGGCCCUUACGAGUAGGGCUACACACGUGCUACAAUGGCGCAUACAAAGAGAAGCGAUCUCGCGAGAGUCAGCGGACCUCAUAAAGUGCGUCGUAGUCCGGAUUGGAGUCUGCAACUCGACUCCAUGAAGUCGGAAUCGCUAGUAAUCGUGGAUCAGAAUGCCACGGUGAAUACGUUCUCGGGCCUUGUACACACCGCCCGUCACACCAUGGGAGUGGGUUGCAAAAGAAGUAGGUAGCUUAACCUUAGGGAGGGCGUUUACCACUUUGUGAUUCAUGACUGGGGUGAAGUCGUAACAAGGUAACC
This 834-nucleotide ribosomal RNA is filed under the name uncultured bacterium. RNAcentral's name for it is "bacterial SSU rRNA". It matches the Rfam family "Bacterial small subunit ribosomal RNA", at positions 667 to 1501 of the family's 1533-position model. The record is from RNAcentral.